UACGUAGGUGGCAAGCGUUGUCCGGAAUUAUUGGGCGUAAAGCGCGCGCAGGCGGUCCUUUAAGUCUGAUGUGAAAGCCCACGGCUCAACCGUGGAGGGUCAUUGGAAACUGGGGGACUUGAGUGCAGAAGAGAAGAGUGGAAUUCCACGUGUAGCGGUGAAAUGCGUAGAGAUGUGGAGGAACACCAGUGGCGAAGGCGACUCUUUGGUCUGUAACUGACGCUGAGGCGCGAAAGCGUUGGGGAGCAAACAGG
This 254-nucleotide ribosomal RNA is filed under the name uncultured bacterium. Its description in RNAcentral is "partial 16S ribosomal RNA". It matches the Rfam family "Bacterial small subunit ribosomal RNA", at positions 524 to 776 of the family's 1533-position model. The record is from RNAcentral.